UUCUGGCACAUAAAUAUGUGUAAACCCUUUUAUUGGACCCAACUGUAGUUGUGGGGGAUCGGAUCGUAAUCCGCCCUACCGAGUUCAGUGCCAGAUACCUCUGAACCAACUAACAGUGGGUAAGUUUUUCUUUUUCUUUUUAUUUUUCUUUUUCUUUUUGUAGCAAAUUUUUACAAUUCUUUGGUUUAAAUGACUUUGUGAGGGUCACCUAUACCGGAGUUUCCUUUUUUCUUUCUUUUAUUUUUUUGUUUUUCUGG
Molecule: long non-coding RNA, 257 nt
Filed under: Lathyrus oleraceus (garden pea)
Lineage: Eukaryota; Viridiplantae; Streptophyta; Magnoliopsida; Fabales; Fabaceae
Description: Pisum sativum (pea) long non-coding RNA (PSAT_LNC015931)
Source: RNAcentral